Molecule: non-coding RNA, 8813 nt
Organism: Zonotrichia albicollis (white-throated sparrow)
Lineage: Eukaryota; Metazoa; Chordata; Aves; Passeriformes; Passerellidae
Source: RefSeq, a predicted model, not a curated record
GCUUGAAUGAACUACAUUUCUUCCUCACAGAAAAUGCAGGAGUACUUAUAUGCUUAAAAAUACUAACCCAAGCGGCACACGCAUGAUUAGCCAAGGGGGCCUGUGAGCCAAAGAAAAACUUUGUUGAGGCUUGGGGGUUUUUUCUUUCUUUUCUUUCCUUGUUACUGGUGGAAUUUUUUCUCAUUGAGUUGCUAAGAAGCACUGAGGGCUGGGUGCUCGAGACAGCUCGGAGGGGGAACUCCCGUUUUUGGGAGUUUCUCUGGGGGCGGGGAGACAGAGAUACCACGACAAGAGAGGCAGGAAAAAAUUUCAAGGGCUGGGGAGAUGGGGACUCUCAUUUGCUCUCAGCUUUCGGAGGAACACGGUGGAGCUGCUACUUGGGAAAGGAAUUUCGCUCCCACAGCUAUAUAACCCCGCCGGGAGCUGCCUUCCUUCCUUCUGCUGCCGGGCCCGCACCCCUGCCCGCCCGGACACCCGCAGUCCCAGCUAUCGCCGCGGAGUUUUUGAAUCCUUGACUGGCAGUUAUGGGAAUAAUUUUUUCUGACAACCAUUAUUAUUUGAGGUUAUUGCUUGCCAUCUUAUUUGACCAUCAAGGAGAUGCUGCAUAUCCCAUUUAGACUUCUGGUGUUUCCUUCUCUCACAACUGACACUGUCAAAGAAGACAACACAGAAAAUUCAUUCACUGGUUGAGAAGAUUGAAAUUAAUUUGCCACUUCUUUACACAGUCAAAAUAAAUAGAAUCCUUGCCAUAAACAUGUCAUUCCUUAAACUUUCCUGACAUAAUAGAUCUUCUUGGAAGUCUUGUGUUCUGACACUUAGCAGUCCAGUAAGACUGAGAACCUGAGACAUUACUUCUAGGAUUUUAUACUCUUUCAGAGAAUUUCUGGAGUCUCUCUGGGAGUAUUAGGAGGUAGCCAUUCUAGGAACACAUCUCUCUGAGGUCCAUAGGACUUUGCUUUCCCUUGCAAUAAAAAUGACAUAAUUAAUGCUCUAUACAUCAAGUGUAGAGAAUCAGAGGCUUGUCAAAGCACCCAAGUUACUGACACCUCUGCAUGUAAAAUUCCACCAGUUUGAAGUUCAAAGGAGUUUACUGUGCUUAGACAGCAGUAUAAAAUUUUGCAGCUAAAUCACCUUCCUUGUAGAGUUGGGGACCAUAUUCAACUCUUUCACCAAACAUCUUAACUAAGCUCUAUCUUCGCAUCACAGAGGAAAUGUGUCAUGGUUUAGGGAAUGGUUCUCCCCAGUUCAGUGCCCCCAGACCAUAUUCUUCUCUCUCUCUCUCCUGUUUUCCUGCCCCUCUUCCGCCUCACUAGAAACACCAAUGAGAUAAUAAAACAAACAGUAACAGCAGCAAUACUAAUGACAGAGGGUACAAGAAAGAAAAAAAAUCACAUGGCACCUGUUACCAUACCAGACAACUUCCUCUGCCAUGUUUACUUGACCAGAAUGGAAUUCCUUCUCCCCAGAAGAGAGUCCCUUCUCUGUACCCCCCAUCAAUGACACGAGGUGAUGUAGAAUAACCUCUGGAUUCUAACCAUGGCUCUUCCUGGAUACUGCAAGAAUUAACACUGUCCUGGCUAAAACCAGGACAAAAUCCAUCAGGGAAUAGACUAUACAAUGGAUGUGAAAGAAUAGGUGUAGGCAUGUGAACAAUCACAAAAUGAAAGUAAUUUUUAUUUGCAUCACUUAAUGAAAAAGAAGAUAUAGUAAAGGAAAAACAAAAACAAUCAGAAAAGCACAAAUAAGAGAGGAAGAACAACAUACUAAGAAAAUUAUUAUGAAUUCUUGAAAUUUUUUUGCCACAUUGAACAAAUAUAUUCGCUUCUGAAGCUACAUAUAAAUUGUGGUUUAGGAAUAUUGUGGCAGAAUCACCAAAACUUGAAAUCUACAUACUCAAGAGGGUUCAAAAGAGCUGGUUCGUACCAGCCAUCAACAUGGUCUGUUGUUUAUGAUCUUUCUUCCCUAACCCAGUUUCAAAUAACAUAGCUGUAAGUUUGUAGUGAAAUGCAGUUCCCUAGCUCUCAUUGAUGCCAACUUAAUUCCUCUAGUACCAUUGGUAUUACAUGUCAAAACUAAAGAUGGCAAACAUUAAUUGUUAAAAAGGUACUUAAUUUCAUGUUAUGUAAAUUUAUUUUGUCUACUUUGAUCUUAGUUCUCUGUGUGCUUUAUUUUACAUUGCAAUAGAAGCAUGAAAAUUCUUCUAAGGGAAAAAUGUGUCUUGCUUUCCUAAAACAAAAUGAAGACAAGCAGUUAUUUAGAGCCAAAAUCUACAUGUUGCUGAUUCUCAUUUGAUUUGGUCCUUUCCAGUGUGGACUUGCCAGUGCUUGGAAUACAGAAAUACAGAUGAUGAGAGAGAAGAAAGUUAAGAAACCUUGUCCCUCUAUGGAGGACAGAUAUAAGACUCAUUGCUUUCCUGCCAGAAGACAGUGAAAAUACAUAGAGUAAUUGUAGCAGGAAUAUUCGUGUUCAGCAGAAGUAAGACAACAAGCAGUUUCCGUUUCUCUGUCCUAACUCACUCCACGACAAAAUCAUUCAGUUUCAGAUUUGAUUUAAGCAAACCAUCUCAAUGUACAUUAAUGGAGACAUAAAGCCCACACAGCCAAUUUUCAUGUGACCUCAUCAGAAUUGCAGCAUCCACUUCUAUGCACUCAGAGCACAAGAGCAUCCACCACAUUAAAUGUUUCUUAAGUGAUCAUGCAUCAGGGCUCUGGAAGCAAUUUGGCUCAUAAAUGGGGAUUUCAGGAAUAUUAGUCCUGCCUGCUGCAUCUCUUAAGCUACGCUGCGAACCUAGCUGCUUAAUAUUUAGAGGGAAAAAGACAUGCUUCAGGUCUAAAUGAAGAAGUAUUUCUGACCAGACUGAAACCUAAAGGAAUUCAAACUCUGAAAUUUACCACUAAAAGCUAUAGCCACAGUAGCACAUAAAGCUAUGUACAAUAUCCUGCACCCUAUAUUUUUAAAAUUUUAAUCACUGUCUUUCAUAAUUUAUAUAUAUCUUAUAUAUUUGGUGUAUAUCCUACCUUAUUUAGUACCCCUGUUUCCUGGGUGCAGAGACAAGGUGGUAAAGCUUUUAGUGCUGUUUUUUCAACACCAUUAACAUCACAGCAGGGAGCGGGGGUGGAACUGGAAACAGAAAGUUUGCCAUUUUUGCCUGGUUCUCUUCAGGAAGAAGGUCCCAGGUCAGCCUCAUGGAGCUAGUCCCACUGCCACCACCAGCUGCUCCUUUUUCCGUUCCUCUGAGUUGCAGUUUUUGAGGUUUGGGGCUGAAAGAUGAUGGUGAGCCCAAGAUACCACUCUGAGUAAAAGGAAAAGGAGCAAGAGUGGCAGCAGCAGUGUGAGGGCGGAGCUGUGUGGGGCCCAGGCCCCAGGAGAGCUGAGAAGAGCAUCACUAAUACUGCAGGGCUCCACAUGGAGCUGAUCCAGUGACACAGAGUGGUCGGGGGGAGCAGCACAGAUGAUCCAGGUUCCAAGAGGUUUUGUUGGCCUUAGCUUGAUGUUGUUUUUACACUGGGGUGGGUGAGUGCAAAAACACUGUGAGGCAUUAAACGGUGGAAGCUCUCCUUGAUGUUCACAUUGCUUUUGUUUUUUCUGGUACCAUUGGCCCCAGUGCAGGGCCAGCCCCCAGCUUGCCUUCGUUUGGGAAACCAUGUCAUGUGCUGUCUUUGGGAAACAUUUUUGUUUGUUUGGUGGUGAUUUUUUUUUUGUCAGUAAAACACCUUUUCUUUUUUGUACACUCUUUAUCAUUAAGAUUAUGAUUAUUGCGAUUUUAAGCAAACUGACACUCCAAUUUAUAAUCUCUCCUGGUGUUCUUCUAUUUUCAGAAGGUGCAGGGGCGAGAAGGGAUCAGCUUGAGUGGGUUUAAUGUUCUAAAUAGGAUUUAAAUCCAGCACACCCCCGUAAGAUUUUUGGAAGCAUUUUGCUGCAUUUUAUUUCAAUGCUUAUUCCAGCCAUAAAAUAACUUAAUUUUCUACAGCAUUCAUUCUCUGAAUAACAAAAUCAGCAAUUAUAGCCAUAAUAUUCAAAGUGCUUACCUUUUGGGAAUACAUUUUUGCACAAGUUUUUUUGUAUGCUGAAGACUGUAAAAAUAUUCUGAAUAUUCACAGGCAAUUUUCAUGCUUGCAUCUAAAAUAUCUGAACAACCAUUACAAAAAGGAUGAUUUGUACUUGAAGGUUUAUGAUUUUGAAAUGGAGAAAUUUUUUUUUUUCAAGGAAGUUCAAAUCAGGGUAAUAUAAGCAGACUUGAAACUCAGCCCUUACUAAAGUGCUUUUUGAAAUUCAUGUCUUGUUUUCUGCCUUCUUUUCUACCCAAAUUUUAAUUUAAUUGCUUACAUGUCUGAUGUAAAAAAGGCUUAUGUCUAAGCUGAACAAUAUAGACUCCUCAGGGACCUGUACAUGCUAUCUACUUUAGACCAAAAACUUAAAUAUAAGUGGCCCUUCAAAUAAGUGUUAGCUACUGUUUCAUAUGAAUUUUUCUCAUGAAUCUUUUAUAUAAAUUUUCUGGUUUUGCUAUUACCCCCUUUCUAAUCUUCAUUAGCCUAUUUGUUCUUAUUUGUUUGGUACUUUCAUUUUUCUUUGUUGAAUUGCAGGUCUACUAAUCAUUUUUUUAUUUUAGACUUCUGUGUUCUUUCUUUUUGACUUAACUAUGUUCUUUCUACAGUUCUGGACCUUCCCAUUUGACACACAUUAGUCUACCAAACUUCUUUAUCUUUCAUCAUCACAGUAUAGGUGAUUUAAACAAAAUAUUUAAUUUAAAAAAUUUGAAGAAUGUUAACAUUGAAGAAGAAUCCCAUGGUUAAUUGGAGGAGUUAAUUCUAAAAAAAAGCAGUAUCACGAGAGGAGGGUUUAUGUUCCCUUACUAAAAUUUUUCUAGAGUUAUCCUUGCUAAUUCCAGCUGUUUACAAGGUAUUUAUCAUGUGAAGCAUUUCACAGAAUCACAGUAUAACAGAAUGGGUAAGCAAGGUUGGUAGGGGCCAUAGGAAGUUAUCUUCUCCAACCUCCCUGUUUAAGCAAGGUCAUCCUAGAAGACAUUGCAUAAAAUUGUGUACUGCAGGCUCUUGAAUAUCUCCAGUGAUAGAGACUCCACACUGUCUCUGAACGAUCUGUUCCAGUGUACAGUCACUUGCAUGGUGGAAAAGUCUGUCCUCAUAUUCAGAUGGAACUUCCUGUGCAUCAUUUCCUGCCCAUUGCCUCUUGUCCUAUUUUUUGGCAUCACUGAGCAGAGCAUGGCUCCAUCUUCUUGGCACCCUCCCUUCAGGUACUUACAUUGAUUAGAUCCCGUCUCAGCUGUCUCUUCGUGAGGCUGAACAAGCCUAACUUUCUCAACCUUUCUUCAUAAGAGAGAUGAUCCAGUCCCUUAAUCAUCUUUGUAGCCUUUUGUAGCCUCCCUUUGUAGACCUCCAGGAGCUCCCUUGUCUCUCUUGUACUGAAGAGCCCAGAACUGGACACAGCAUUCCAGAUGCGGCCUCUGGAGAAACCCUUCUACUAGGUUAACUAGAGGGGCAGGAGCACCUCCCUCAGCUUGCUGGCAUUGCUCUUCCUAGUGUACCUCAGGAUAUCAUUGCCUUCUUGGGGCCCAUUGCUGGACAUGGAUAGUUGUCAUGGACAGUUUGUUGUCCACCAGGAUCCCCAGAUCUUUCUCUGCAGAGCUGAUAUCCAGCAGGCCAGCCCCCAGUUGAUGCUUGUGCCUGUGGUUAUCCUUCCCUAGCUACAGGACCCUGCAUUUGCCUUUGUAGAACAUCAAGGAGCUCUUCUCUGCCCAUUUCUCCAGUCUGUCAAGGACCUUCUGAAGGGCUGCACAACACUCUUGUAUCAGCCACUCCUCCCUGCUUUGUGUCAUCAGUGAACUUGCUGAGAAGGCAUCUUGCCCUUCAUGGAAGUGAAUAACAACACUGGGCCCAGUACUGAACCUUGAGGGACACCUUUAGUGACAGGCUCCCAAACAGACCCUGUGACAAUGAUUUGGACACUAUAGAAUUUGACAUCCAGACAGUUCUCAAUCCACUGCCCACUCAUCCAAUUCACACUCCCUAAAUUUGUCUAUGAGGAUUUUGUGAGAGACAGUGUGAAAGCCUUUCUAAUGUAGACAAUAUCUUUUCUAAAGGUGGACAAUUGCUCUUUCAUUAUCAUGCAGGUAGUGGUUUCAUCAUAGCAAGCUAUGAGGUUGGUCAAGCAUGAUUUAUCUUUUGUGACUCCAUUCUGGUCCUGAUCACCUCCUGUCCACAUAGAUAGAGAUGGCCUCCAGAAUGAGAUUCUCCAUCACCUUUCCAGGAACUGAGAUGGUUGGUUGUUCUCUGUGCAGUCCUUCUUGCCCUUUUUGAAGACCAGUGGCAUUUAAUUUCUUCCCAUCCUCAGGCACCUCUCCUGAACUCCAUGACCUUUCAAAGAUGAGCGACAUAAAGCCCACAAAGCCAAUUUGCUUGUGCAGCUUUGUGGUUUCCACCAGCUCUCUCAGCACUCAUGGAUGCAUUCUGUCAGGGCCCUUGGACUCAUGGAUAUCAAGUUUGCCUAGAUGACUCUAGCCUGAGUCUCCUUCAUCAGGAGUUAAGAAGAAUUGGGUUAGAGUCUGUCUGUCUUCCAAGUUUCCUUUACCCUGGUCUACUGGAUUAACAUUUUCUGAGGUAUGAUCUUGUCAGUGAAGAUUGAUGCAAAGAAAGAAUUCAGUAAGUCUGCCUCCUCUGCACCCUUUCUUACCAGGUUUCCUUCACUAGUAAUGGGUCCACAUUUACCUUUGUUUUCUUUUUAUUACUGAUGUACUUGAAAAAGUAGAUCAGUACAAAAGUACUUCUUGUUGGCCUGGAUAUCCUUGGCUAGAUUUCAUUUCAGGUGGGCCUUGACCUUUCUACUUACUCAGACAACCUCUCUAUGUUAAUUCCAAGUGAUCUGGCCCUACUUCCAUCUUCUCUGGGUUUUCUGUUUGUGUUUGAGUAAUGGCAUGAGUUCUGAUUUCAUCCACACAGGCCUCUUGCCCCUUUGUCUGAUUGGGAUACAUCAUGCUUGAGCCUGCAGGAAGUUACUCUGUCCCAUAGGAUUCUUCUAGGAAGAUUACUGAAGAGGUUAGCUCUCCUGAAGUCCAUGGUUACAAUCCUACUUGCUGCCCUGCUUCCUUCUCAUCUGAAACUGAACUCCACAUUCUCAGGUUUCCAUCAGCAGUAUCUGCCCCCAGUCCUCACUAAACACUGAGAUGAGUUCAAUUGGUUAGAGCACAGUGCUGAUAACACCAGGGCUGUGUGUUCAAUCUCUGUACAGACCAUUUACUUUCAAGUGGAACUUGGUGAUCUUUGUGGGCUCCUUCCAACUCAGGAUAAUCUCUGAUUCUCCAACAAGGCCUUCACUCUUGUUAGGGUAAGGUUAAGCAGCACAUAAUUCCUGGUGGGAUUCUCCCCUACCUGAAACAGGAAGUUGCCAUUACUGCUUUCCAGAAGCCUCCUGGAUUGCUUGUGUUUUGCAGUUCACCCUUAACUCCAGCUGAUAUAAGGGUAGUUUAGAACCAAUGUUUCUGACUUAGAGGCUGCUUUGAGCUGCCUGUAGAAGGCCUCAUCCACUUCCUUCUCUUAAUCAGGGAGCUUGUAGCACACAUUGACAACAGUGUCACCUUUACUAGUCCCCUUUUAUCCUAACCUAUAAGAUCUCUACACACUCUUCAGACACAGAGCUAAAUAUAUUUCAAGUGUCAUCUCAUGUGGAGGGCAACUCCACAGUAGGGCAUAUAAGUCUUCAUGAUAGAGCUUUCCUUUCCCAAUUCCUUAAACCAAAUCUGAAACCAAGCUAAUUACAUCUUCUGCCUGCACAUGUAUAAUCAUAAACACAAAUUUCACAUAUAUUUUGGUCUUUCAGCAGCAGUCUAAUGAACUAGGAACUUAAAACUAAUUGCUUCUACAAGGAGAUUAUGAAGAUUGAGGAAAUCACUUCAAUGGCACAUAUUGAUUUAUCUUAAGUUCAAUAAUACAGUCAUAAUUUUAAUGUGAAUAGUGCUCAGUACUUCUCUUUUUAUGUUAAGCAUGCACCAUUACUCUGACGAAAAGCAAUGAUGGCUGCAUUAACAAUGAGCAGUACUCCCUUUUGUUAAUGAUUUUAAUCAUUCUAAUAUUCAUACUACAGUUUUUGUAAUUAAUGAGAGAUAUUUUCCUUUGCUAUUACCAAAACUGAACUUUACAAUCAUGGUUUGGAUAUUAAGUUGUUUGGCUCAGAUACACAUUUCUUUGAACCUGGUAUAGCAACCCUUUAUUAUGUACACAAUACGCCUGUUCAUGUAGGUGUAAUUGUUUCAUAGCUAUAAUUUACAGAUUCACACAGAUUCAAAAUCCUCUUGCUUUUAAGCACUGUUUUUCCUGAUGUUAUUGUAAAUAUGUUUUUGUUCAUUUCUUUGAAGAGAGAGGAAGCGAAGACAUCCUUAGCAGAAAAAUUGGUCAAUCUUAUUACUUUCACCCCAGCAAGGUUACCUUAGAUUUCACCCCUUAUCAAAAUCCUUACACACUUCUUUGGGGUCUUCAAUGUUGGGUGUCCUUUUUAAGCGGCUGUUCCUUGACUCCCACUUGCGAGUAAGUGCAAUAUCAUUGUUUUGCAUAACUUCUGCUUUGUCAGGCUCACGGAGCUAAACUGGCAUCCUGCUUGCAUUUUGCCUGACUCAUAUUUGCCUGAGUUUCAUCUUUCAUCUAUUUCACCAAAAUAGAAUAGUUGUGCUGUUCUGUUCUCGUUCAACUGUCCUUAUUUGUGUCAGUCCUUCUUCCUUUCAGCAACUGUGGAGGCAUAUGUGUGUGUGUGUGGUCAGUGCUGCUGCUUGCUGCCUCCUCCCGCCACCCACUGGGCUCAGUUGGUGU